Schistosoma haematobium is the source of this 78-nucleotide non-coding RNA. Lineage: Eukaryota; Metazoa; Platyhelminthes; Trematoda; Strigeidida; Schistosomatidae. The record is from Rfam.
AGCCUUCUGAAUCCGUGCUGAGGUUUCUUCAGACACCAAACCAUCAGUAGUGAUGAUACUACUAAUAUAAGUGGAGCG